GAUGAACGCUGGCGGCGUGCCUAAUACAUGCAAGUCGAGCGAACAGACGAGGAGCUUGCUCCUCUGACGUUAGCGGCGGACGGGUGAGUAACACGUGGAUAACCUACCUAUAAGACUGGGAUCACUUCGGGAAACCGGAGCUAAUACCGGAUAAUAUAUUGAACCGCAUGGUUCAAUAGUGAAAGACGGUUUUGCUGUCACUUAUAGAUGGAUCCGCGCCGCAUUAGCUAGUUGGUAAGGUAACGGCUUACCAAGGCAACCAUGCGUAGCCGACCUGAGGGGGUGAUCGGCCACACUGGAACUGAGACACGGUCCAUACUCCUACGGGAGGCAGCAGUAGGGAAUCUUCCGCAAUGGGCGAAAGCCUGACGGAGCAACGCCGCGUGAGUGAUGAAGGCCUUCGGAUCGUAAAACUCUGUUAUUAGGGAAGAACAAAUGUGUAAGUAACUAUGCACGUCUUGACGGUACCUAAUCAGAAAGCCACGGCUAACUACGUG
RNAcentral lists this ribosomal RNA (497 nucleotides) under uncultured bacterium. RNAcentral's name for it is "partial 16S ribosomal RNA". It matches the Rfam family "Bacterial small subunit ribosomal RNA", at positions 28 to 507 of the family's 1533-position model. The record is from RNAcentral.